CCUGGAUUCUGCAGGCUUUCUGCCUCCCUUUGAACUCCCAAGACCUGGUCACCCGUCACACACUUCACAGCAGAGCUCAGCAUAGCCGGCUUUCCCUGUGCACGUACCACCGCUGCCCUCUGCCCACACGGCGGCCCACGGGUACCAUGGAAGUACAGCCAGCGAAGCCCACAAGCACUGCUCCCGCAGUGUGCCCUUCCUGAUGCCCGGGGCUGACAAUGUUCAGCUCUCUUUCGUUUGUUACCUAGGGACCUCGCCCACGGGCGCUAAGGCUGGGGCUCUGGUAGUCACCAGCCAGGGACUUCAGGCAGCAGAGCAUGGCUGUGAAGAGCCGAAGACGCCCUAUGGCAUGGUGCUGGUGCAGAACCUUCCGAAGAGGCUGAGCACCAGGAAAGUCCUAGAACCACCCAGCCUGGGGCCGCUGCGCCCCAGCAGGAUCCCCGUCCGCAAGAAGGCAGCAGCAUGCAGCCCGAGUUUGCUGAGACUUGGCAGCGAGAGCACCUCAGCCCUCAAGGUCUGGAAAUACACCCACGCCGGAUCCCUGGCCCAAAGGUCUCUGCCAGCAUUCCCAGAGGACACUGCAUCACUCAGCAUGGGGAUGCAGACAACAGAGCCGAUCUUCAUCUGCGACGGCCCCGAGGGGCUGCUCNGGAUGUUGGGGGGGGGGCUGGGGAACCCACCCCAAGCAGGGCCCAUGUCUCCCGUGAUGCCCCCCUGCUCCCGGGGCAGGCAGCCCUGGCACCAGAGCUGCAGCUUGGCCCUGUCCUCACCGCUUGGGGGGAGCACUGGUGAGUGGCCGUGCUCUGCGGUGCACUGGCUUCUCAGGCUGGCACUGCUCUGGGCGAGCAUGUGGCCUGCCACAGAGCCCCCCUCCCAGCUCCCUGAGCCUCCUCUUCUAUGUUGCAGCAUCUGCCAAGCCGGGCCCCAGACUCGCCCCCGCUCAGCUCCUACCACAAGAUCCUGUCCUUCUGCACAGAAGCCUGAGUACAGCCACCAGCUCCAGCUGUCACCAGUCUGCACUCGCCUGCGUCUCUAGCUGGGUGCCACACCUGCCCCCCACGCUGCCCUGCUGCAGGGGUAGUCGGGCUGAGCGGAGCAGCAUGCCCACCCUGCCCACGGCUUCCUCCAGCCUCCCCUUGCAAACCAAAGUGUGUUAUGGAGGGAGAGGCUCCUGAUCGCCCUGCAGGGUCCCCUUGCUCAGUUCCCACAGAGCCAUUGCUGGAGCAGCCAGGGCUCUGCAGAACACACAGCCUGAGCAGAGGGGGACACUGCUGGGCUCCCCAGCUAGUCCCAGAGCUCUGUGCGAAUCCCCGCUAACCUCCAGCCAUGGCCAUGUGGAGGGCACUUGGUGCAGCCAGCUGGCUGAUUUGGGUCACAAGCUUGGGGGUGCCAACAGCACCCACGGUGCCAGGGGCUGGAGAUGGGGGUGAUGCCCGGGGAGCAGCUGCAGACACCAUCACUCUAUGUCUCCCUGGGCAGUGGAGAGGGUUGGGCAGGGCUAGGCACUGGGUCAGGCUGCUGCACUCGCCCCUAUGUGGGGUGCAGGAGAAUCAACCCGGGGCAAAGAGCUUUCUAGCAGGGGGCCAGCUGGUGCCAGGGAGGCCCAGGAGGCCCAGCCCUUCUCCCCUUCCACUAAGCCAGAGCUCCCAUGGUGUGUCUCAGAACCCAGCCCGUGGGCAGCCCCCUGCUGCCACAGUGAGCCUGGGGGGCCGUGUCUCCCCACAGUAGCUUGGCCCCUGCCCCACACCCAGCAGGGCUGUGGAGACAACUUGAGGGAGCGUCCGUGGGCAUCUCCUUGGGCAGAGUACAGUGCCAGCAACACCUCAGUGGGCUUCAGGGUCCCAGGCCAGGUAUCUCCAGCUGGGGCUCUCCCUGCAGACACAGCUUGUAACCUGGGCAGGCUCUUGCAAAGGCUGCUUCAUGAGCACAACCAAGUCAGGCCGUGGAGCUGCAGGUCAGCUCCCAUCCCCGUGUGCCUGGGCCCCAGGCUAGCAGCUUUGGCCAGCCCCUCCGGGUGGGCAGGGUCAGGCCUGGAGCAGCCCUGCAGCCAGCCCCCAAGGCAGAGCCAUUCUCCUGCUGCUGCAGUCGGGCGCUGCCUCCCACUCAGCCCAGCCGCUCCAGAGUUGUUCAGGGGUUUGAAGCUAUUUUUAUGAGAUAGGGUUUGUCUUGUACCUUGUUUCUAUUAAAGUCUGUUUGGAAGAAAUGUUCCCUGAGCUCUAAUCUGGGGCAGGCCUCUCAGCUGUGCCAGGAUCCCGCCGCGCCCAGAGCAGCAGCGAGAGGGCUGCUGGUCCAGGAAGGCAGGAGUAGAGCCCACUGUGGUCACCGGCAGGAGCUGGCAGACUGCUCAGGGGGAGGCCUAAAGACAAGGCUGGACUGAUGGAGGAAGGGCAAGCGAGCCAAGGGGCAGCUUUGCCCCCUUGGAGGAGAAGGGGUUAAUGCAGUCUGCAUGCUGUGCCCAUAAUAAAACCGUCAGCACCACCUGGCUGGCA
Long non-coding RNA from Gopherus agassizii (Agassiz's desert tortoise), 2489 nucleotides. The record is from Ensembl. NCBI's taxonomy places the organism in Eukaryota, Metazoa, Chordata, Testudines, Testudinidae.